This 211-nucleotide long non-coding RNA is filed under the name Rattus norvegicus (Norway rat). Its description in RNAcentral is "long non-coding RNA NONRATT033866". The record is from RNAcentral. Lineage: Eukaryota; Metazoa; Chordata; Mammalia; Rodentia; Muridae.
AUGUAACAGAAAAGUGCCAGCUCUCCCUGUUUUCUUGUUUUAGAGAAAGAAAACCAAAGGAUCCGGCCGGGAAAGCAAUCUUCUGGCCUAGAAGCCCCCAGGAGAAAGUGCACACACAGAGUCCAGCAUGAGUGGUCAAGCAUACCUUGAUAUCCAGGAAUAAGGAAGCAGAGGUAUGUAUUUUUUUUUGUUGCUUAUUUUAUUGUAUCCC